AUUGAACGCUGGCGGCAGGCCUAACACAUGCAAGUCGAGCGCGCGGCGCACGGGUGAGUAUUGUCUGGGAAACUGUUCGCUGGAGGGGGAUAACUACUGGAAACGGUAUCUCUUACCGCACACCAUCAGAUGUGCCCCGAUGGGAUUAGCUAGUAGGUGGGGUAACGGCUCACCUAGGCGACGAUCCCUAGCUGGUCUGAGAGGAUGACCAGCCACACUGGAACUGAGACACGGUCCAGACUCCUACGGGAGGCAGCAGUGGGGAAUAUUGCACAAUGGGCGCAAGCCUGAUGCAGCCAUGCCGCGUGUGUGAAGAAGGCCUUCGGGUUGUAAAGCACUUUCAGCGGGGAGGCGUUACCCGCAGAAGAAGCACCGGCUAACUCCGUGCCAGCAGCCGCGGUAAUAC
RNAcentral lists this ribosomal RNA (406 nucleotides) under uncultured bacterium. RNAcentral describes it as "partial 16S ribosomal RNA". It matches the Rfam family "Bacterial small subunit ribosomal RNA", at positions 30 to 526 of the family's 1533-position model. The record is from RNAcentral.